GAAGGUGGCAAGCGUUGUUCGGAUUUACUGGGCGUACAGGGAGCGUAGGCGGUUGGAUAAGCCCUCCGUGAAAUCUCCAGGCUUAACCUGGAAAGUGCAGAGGGGACUGUUCAGCUAGAGGAUGGGAGAGGAGCGCGGAAUUCCCGGUGUAGCGGUGAAAUGCGUAGAGAUCGGGAGGAAGGCCGGUGGCGAAGGCGGCGCUCUGGAACAUUUCUGACGCUGAGGCUCGAAAGCGUGGGGAGCAAACAGGAUUAGAUACCCUGGUAGUCCACGCUGUAAACGAUGGGUACUAGGUUUGGUGGGUCUUGACCCCCGCCGAACCGGCGCUAACGCACUAAGUACCCCGCCUGGGAAGUACGGUCGCAAGACUA
RNAcentral lists this ribosomal RNA (371 nucleotides) under uncultured bacterium. Its description in RNAcentral is "bacterial SSU rRNA". It matches the Rfam family "Bacterial small subunit ribosomal RNA", at positions 527 to 896 of the family's 1533-position model. The record is from RNAcentral.